GACGAACGCUGGCGGCGUGCCUAAUACAUGCAAGUAGAACGCUGAAGAGAGGAGCUUGCUCUUCUUGGAUGAGUUGCGAGCGGGUGAGUAACGCGUAGGUAACCUGCCUUGUAGCGGGGGAUAACUAUUGGAAACGAUAGCUAAUACCGCAUAACAAUGGAUGACACAUGUCAUUUAUUUGAAAGGGGCAAUUGCUCCACUACAAGAUAGACCUGCGUUGUAUUAGCUAGUAGGUGAGGUAAUGGCUCACCUAGGCGACGAUACAUAGCCGACCUGAGAGGGUGAUCGGCCACACUGGGACUGAGACACGGCCCAGACUCCUACGGGAGGCAGCAGUAGGGAAUCUUCGGCAAUGGGGGCAACCCUGACCGAGCAACGCCGCGUGAGUGAAGAAGGUUUUCGGAUCGUAAAGCUCUGUUGUAAGUCAAGAACGGGUGUGAGAGUGGAAAGUUCACACUGUGACGGUAGCUUACCAGAAAGGGACGGCUAACUACGUG
RNAcentral lists this ribosomal RNA (497 nucleotides) under uncultured bacterium. RNAcentral describes it as "partial 16S ribosomal RNA". It matches the Rfam family "Bacterial small subunit ribosomal RNA", at positions 28 to 507 of the family's 1533-position model. The record is from RNAcentral.